CCUACGGGAGGCAGCAGUGAGGAAUAUUGGUCAAUGGACGAGAGUCUGAACCAGCCAAGUAGCGUGAAGGAUGACUGCCCUAUGGGUUGUAAACUUCUUUUAUAUGGGAAUAAAAUGUUCCACGUGUGGGAUUUUGUAUGUACCAUAUGAAUAAGGAUCGGCUAACUCGGUGCCAGCAGCCGCGGUAAUACGGAGGAUCCGAGCGUUAUCCGGAUUUAUUGGGGUUAAAGGGAGCGUAGGUGGAUUGUUAAGUCAGUUGUGAAAGUUUGCGGCUCAACCGUAAAAUUGCAGUUGAAACUGGCAGUCUUGAGUACAGUAGAGGUGGGCGGAAUUCGUGGUGUAGCGGUGAAAUGCUUAGAUAUCACGAAGAACUCCGAUUGCGAAGGCAGUUCACUGGACUGCAACUGACGCUGAGGCUCGAAAGUGUGGGUAUCAAACAGGAUUAGAUACCCUUGUAGUC
Molecule: ribosomal RNA, 460 nt
Filed under: uncultured bacterium
Lineage: Bacteria
Description: partial 16S ribosomal RNA
Rfam family: Bacterial small subunit ribosomal RNA
Source: RNAcentral